AAAGGUGCUGGUGUAGGCAGUGAGACUUGGGAUCUGUGAUGGAGGAGACCUGGAAUGACCAUCCUCUGCGUGCUCUCUCUGACUGAGAAAAUGGAGGCAUUUUCUUUUACGGAUUACCUGGUGGGUCAAGUGACAGCAAGAAAAAAGAAUGUUAUUUGUAUAUUGGAAACUUUUUUUCCAUUGCUCUGUCCCUUAACUUGAGUCUUUCAAUAUUGAACAAUAAUACAUCUUCCAUUCUCAUUAGUAAUUCAGUCUGCAGACUGAUUCAGAUUAACUUGGACUCUCAGUGUAUUAAACACUUUAAGAAAAAAGCAGAAGAGCUCAGGAUGUUUAUGAAAAGCAAUUUCCUCAAUGCCAGGCAGUUUAAUAACUCUAGAGCCAGUGGCAUUCAGGCUCAUUUAUUUUAAGCUACAUUUCCAAACUGUGACGGGUCAAUAAUAAAUAAGGCAGGAUGGCAGGUUUGGCAUAGAAGAGAGCUCAUUUUGAAGAAAAGAAUGUAUGCAAGUUCAGCCCAAAGUGCGUGGAAUAAUGGGGCUUUUAGGUCCACCAAAAUAAAGGCUCAUUUGAGAAGCUGAAUCUUAUUACAAAUCAAUAUUUCCCUGGUGACCUAUUGGCAAUAGGUGAAAAUUUGGAGGUGUGUCUGGCAAAACUCUGCUCAUCUCUUGUCCAAAUAGCUUUCUUUCAUGUAACAGUACAGUUCUUCUGCGUAUCGGUCUGGAUUUUUCCUGUAAUCGAGUUCCUGGUGAAGAGGCAUGUUGCCCCCAGGCAGUGCUUUGCACCUGAGACCUCAGACCUAUUCAAGCAAUAAAUGCAAGCAUCACAGCAUGUUUCAAAGGACUUGUUAAAAAUAUUGGAAAUCGGUAUCUUGUAGGAAACAAAGUGAGUUAAUGCUGUUUGUUGAAAACACCUUGUACAAGCCAUAUGGGACACUGGGCAGGUCAACUGGAAUGUGUAACAACAUUCACCUAUCUCUUGCUUCUCUCUAUGGAUAUUUAAGCACAGAUGCUGGGUUCAUCAAAGGCCCUUCCCUGCCUGGAUGUCCUUGCUGGAAAGACUCGAGCCUGGAGCAUCCCCAGCCGGGAGGAAUGGAGCACCACAAGGGGCGGAUUUGGUUCUGGUGUUGGUCUCAUGGCAAGGAGGGACCAAAAGCAAGCCUAUGGUGUAGCAUCUUGUCAUUCGGCUGUGAGAAAGGUACUGGGAACCCCGGUGUGCACCCAGGCUCCACAGUCACUCCUCUGCUGGGUACGUGCUGCUGUGCUUCCGGACAGCCCGCCUGGCACCCUGCUGGGCUUUCCCUCCCUUCCUUACAGAAACCUCGUCAUCAGCAGUCACUUCUUCCUCCCGUGUCUGCUCACAAUCAGAGAAGAAGCUGCAGUCAUUGUUUUGCCUGCCCUGCAACUUUAUAG
Molecule: long non-coding RNA, 1406 nt
Filed under: Anser cygnoides (Swan goose)
Lineage: Eukaryota; Metazoa; Chordata; Aves; Anseriformes; Anatidae
Description: lncRNA (ENSACDG00005005597.1)
Source: RNAcentral